RNAcentral lists this microRNA precursor (177 nucleotides) under Megaselia scalaris. RNAcentral's name for it is "microRNA mir-50". The record is from RNAcentral. Lineage: Eukaryota; Metazoa; Arthropoda; Insecta; Diptera; Phoridae.
UUACAGCUGUUCUUCUUUGAUGCAUCAAAAAGUUCGGUUAUCAGAAGCACCUAUUUCCGGGGGGGGGGGUUCCAUUUGGGUCGUUCUAUGUCUGAAGAUUAAUUCUAGGGUGCGGGGAAAUAGGUGCUUCUGAAAACCGAUCUUUUUGAUGCAUCAAAGAAGACCAGCUGUAAAUCG